This is a long non-coding RNA of Harpia harpyja (harpy eagle), 1173 nucleotides long. RefSeq lists it as uncharacterized. The record is from RefSeq and is a predicted model, not a curated record. Lineage: Eukaryota; Metazoa; Chordata; Aves; Accipitriformes; Accipitridae. The transcript has 4 exons.
GCUGGGUGAGUCAACAGAGUCCUCUGCAUGAUGCCUUGAGUAGCUGCUGUGAAGAACCACAGGAGGACCCUGAGGAGCUGGACACUGGGUCCAGGGUCUGUGCUGUGUCUCUGGGUGUUUGUAGAUAGAGCAGCUUCCUGGUCAUGAUCCAGAGGACAGAAUGAAGGGAACCACAGGACGUACUGGUGUGUCCUCGUCAUGUAAGGGUGGAGAGUGGAGGCUGAGCUGCUCAAGAGUUCAGGCAAGUGAAGGUCAGUUGUUACAAACUGCUUAGGGAGACAAGCUGACAGGAAGAUAAAGGGAGAACAUUCCAGGAGCCAAAAGAUGGAGGCCUUCAUCCAUUCUGAGAACAGCAGCACAGCAGCACGUUCUGGUAGAGGGGCUGAAGCUUUGCAGCUAGACCUUUAUUUGUUGAAGUGCUGCUUUAUGGUGCUCCUCAGAAGUACAUCAAUUCUAUUAGACAGAUCGGUGUGUAAGACCCUUUCAUCUGAAACAAAAUUGAGCCUACUGCUUCUUUAUAUGUAUACACAAGCUAUCCAUAGCUGUCUGAAGAUAUCAAGUGGAGUUACAGUCCAAAUGUAAAACAUUCUCUAUUCUGUAUUUGCGUUCACGUAAAAUAUAAGAAAAGUGCCUAUUUACAUGUUACCAUUUUAGUUUUCACUUCAAGAUGUUUUCCGAAAACCAUAAAUUAGCUUUUUCCUGGUCAAAAAGGCAUUUAAAUGCAGGUGUUUAUUGCUUUUCUUGCUGUAAAUAAAUAAACAAAUAAAUAACAUGCAAAACCAAGUUCUAAAUGAAAACAACAUUAAAAUAGUACUGAAGCAUUUGUUCCCUGAAAGAAAAUGGUAAUAGAUUUCUGCCCUUGUUGUUCAUAAGUACUGAACAUUUUAUAUAGACUUACAAGGAAAUAAAACCAAAUGCUGGAACUUUUGAACAGUGAAAAAGAAAAAGCUCAAAAAUACAUGCAAAUAGGCUCAGUUGCUGAAACUUCUGGUGCAUGAUGUCAGAUUAUUCUGUUGUACAACUUAUUUCUAUGAAUUCUUUUGGACACAGUAAGAAGAACUACUGUUUUUAAUUUUACAUAUUGAAAUGAUUGUUUCCGUAGAGAAAAAUUGCAGACCCUCUUUAGGUAGUGUAGUGGGUUGGCAAGGUUUUUGUAGCAGGGGGGUCUACAGG